RNAcentral lists this non-coding RNA (105 nucleotides) under Carnobacterium inhibens. Its description in RNAcentral is "NiCo sequence". It matches the Rfam family "NiCo (Nickel/Cobalt) riboswitch aptamer". Lineage: Bacteria; Bacillati; Bacillota; Bacilli; Lactobacillales; Carnobacteriaceae. The record is from RNAcentral.
CCAAUUAAAUCUGAACAGGCGGUGAACUCUUAGAGGUUCAUGCGGCCGGAUCACACAUGUGUGAUAGCAGAGUAGUGCCAAAAAAGGCACACCUGUGGGACAGUA